AGAUUGAACGCUGGCGGCAGGCCUAACACAUGCAAGUCGAGCGGCAGCACGGGUGCUUGUACCUGGUGGCGAGCGGCGGACGGGUGAGUAAUGCCUAGGAAUCUGCCUGGUGGUGGGGGAUAACGCUCGGAAACGGACGCUAAUACCGCAUACGUCCUACGGGAGAAAGCAGGGGACCUUCGGGCCUUGCGCUAUCAGAUGAGCCUAGGUCGGAUUAGCUAGUUGGUGAGGUAAUGGCUCACCAAGGCGACGAUCCGUAACUGGUCUGAGAGGAUGAUCAGUCACACUGGAACUGAGACACGGUCCAGACUCCGUACGGGAGCAGCAGGUGGGAAUAGUUGGGAACUAAGUGGGACAAAGCCUAGAUCCAGCCAUGCCGCGUGUGUAGAAGAGGUCUUACGGAUUAGUAUAGACUAACGUUUAAGUGGGAAG
RNAcentral lists this ribosomal RNA (432 nucleotides) under uncultured soil bacterium. RNAcentral describes it as "bacterial SSU rRNA". It matches the Rfam family "Bacterial small subunit ribosomal RNA", at positions 26 to 451 of the family's 1533-position model. The record is from RNAcentral.